RNAcentral lists this ribosomal RNA (491 nucleotides) under uncultured bacterium. RNAcentral's name for it is "bacterial SSU rRNA". It matches the Rfam family "Bacterial small subunit ribosomal RNA", at positions 77 to 545 of the family's 1533-position model. The record is from RNAcentral.
UUCGGGAACUGAGUAAAGCGGCGCACGGGUGAGUAACACGUAGGUAACCUGCCCCAUAGUCGGGAAUAACCCGGGGAAACUCGGGCUAAUGCCGGAUGAGACCACAGCCGUUUCGACGGCAGCGGCCAAAGGCGGCCUCUACAUGUAAGCUGUCGCUAUGGGAUGGGCCUGCGGCCCAUUAGCUUGUUGGUGAGGUAACGGCUCACCAAGGCUGUGAUGGGUAGCUGGUCUGAGAGGAUGGCCAGCCACACUGGGACUGAGACACGGCCCAGACUCCUACGGGAGGCAGCAGUGGGGAAUAUUGCGCAAUGGGGGAAACCCUGACGCAGCGACGCCGCGUGGGUGAUGAAGGCCUUCGGGUCGUAAAGCCCUGUCGUAGGGGAAGAAAUGGAGCGUGGCUAAUACCCUCGUUCCUUGACGGUACCCUACAAGAAAGCACCGGCUAACUCCGUGCCAGCAGCCGCGGUAAUACGGAGGGUGCAAGCGUUGUU